Molecule: ribosomal RNA, 468 nt
Filed under: uncultured bacterium
Lineage: Bacteria
Description: partial 16S ribosomal RNA
Rfam family: Bacterial small subunit ribosomal RNA
Source: RNAcentral
GACGAACGCUGGCGGCGUGCUUAACACAUGCAAGUCGAACGGAAAGGCCCUGCUUUUGUGGGGUGCUCGAGUGGCGAACGGGUGAGUAACACGUGAGUAACCUGCCCUUGACUUUGGGAUAACUUCAGGAAACUGGGGCUAAUACCGGAUAGGAGCUCCUGCUGCAUGGUGGGGGUUGGAAAGUUUCGGCGGUUGGGGAUGGACUCGCGGCUUAUCAGCUUGUUGGUGGGGUAGUGGCUUACCAAGGCUUUGACGGGUAGUCGGCCUGAGAGGGUGACCGGCCACAUUGGGACUGAGAUACGGCCCAGAAUCCUACGGGAGGGAGCAGCGCGGGAUGAUGCAUAAUGGGCCGAAUCCUGAUCCAGCAACGUCGCGUGCGGGAUGACGGCCUUCGGGUUGUAAACCGCCUUCGCCUGUGACGAAGCGUGAGUGACGAUAAUGGGUAAAGAAGCACCGGCUAACUACGUG